Molecule: ribosomal RNA, 207 nt
Filed under: uncultured Bacteroidota bacterium
Lineage: Bacteria; Pseudomonadati; Bacteroidota
Description: uncultured Bacteroidetes bacterium partial 16S ribosomal RNA
Rfam family: Bacterial small subunit ribosomal RNA
Source: RNAcentral
UGCGCAGGCGGAAUGAUAAGUCAGUGGUGAAAUCCUACGGCUCAACUGUAGAACUGCCAUUGAUACUGUCGUUCUUGAGUACACUUGGAGUGGGCGGAAUGUGUCAUGUAGCGGUGAAAUGCUUAGAUAUGACACAGAACACCGAUCGCGAAGGCAGCUCACUAAAUUGUAACUGACGCUCAGGCACGAAAGCGUGGGGAUCAAACA